Rhododendron vialii is the source of this 1359-nucleotide long non-coding RNA. RefSeq lists it as uncharacterized. The transcript has 2 exons. Lineage: Eukaryota; Viridiplantae; Streptophyta; Magnoliopsida; Ericales; Ericaceae. The record is from RefSeq and is a predicted model, not a curated record.
CACUUACAACUACAAAAAAAAAUUAAUUAAAGAGAAAACCCCACCGGAAAACAAAUUUAUUUUCGGUGUGUAGAUUCAAGUACCCAACCCCUCUUUUCUCUCUCUCUCUCUCUCUCUCUCUCACUCACAGAACACCCCACCACGCCAAAACCCUCCCCUCUUUCCAGAUCCAGACCACCGAUCAGCUCUCUCUCUCUCUCUCUCUCUCUCUCUCUCUCGAACACACACGCACCCGUUGAAAACCCCUCUCUCCUCUCUCGAUCUCACCCCCAACCGUGAAACCCCCUCUUUCCGUCGAAUCUCUGACGAGUUUGUUGCCGGCAUGUUCAAGCUUCAAGUUUCAAGCCGGCUGAUUUUGAGAUUCCCAGUUUCCAGCAAGUUACAAGCUUUUCCGGUCAUUUUCAGGCGACUUAGGUGUUAGUCCGAUGCUUACAACGUGUUGGGCUUGCUAAGCCUGGUUCCCGCAGAUGUGCUUGUUAAUUUGGUCGAUUUCUAGAUAGGGGGUAUUACGGAUUUAUGGUAAUCGGUAAAUAGGUCAGUAGUGGAUGAAGACGGCAUAGGAGCCGGGCUAGGAGGAAGUGGACCUUCCACCUUUACCCCUAUUCAACUCCUCACUGUCGAAUCCAAUUCAUAGACCGCCCGAGCCCAACCCUAAUUGGACACAACUUUUUUUUUUUUGAUAAGCAAAUUUUUUUUUAUUAAUCUUCGAAUAUAAAAAUUACAAAGAUUAAAAAGACAAUGAUAAAUGAAAAUUAAUGCUGUUGAUUUUAUCACUCUUUUUUUUGUUAACAUCACUCUUCUAAGUGUAAAAAUACACUUGCAAGAGAGUUGCGUUAACAAAAAAAAAAAUAGUGGCAAAAUCAUUUCUCAAAAUUAAUUGGACACUGCUUUACCCGAACACCAAAGUCCUAUAUUUCCCCUUCCCAACCACCUUAGCCUAGCCCAACUGUAUUUCACUCGAUCUACAUUACAGUUAUCAGAACCCAAGUUUAUCAUAAUCUCCUUGUCAAAAUACGCGCAAGCUGGUUUGAAACACCUACAUUACACCAAAAAAAAAAAAAGAGUUUACCAUAAUCUUGGAGAAAAAGGGAACGCUUUGCUCCAUAUUAAUUGUCGCCUGUAAAGGAGGGGUAAUCUGGCUUAUUUUUGGCACGUUGAAUUACUUUUUCUUUAAAUUUUUUUUUUGAUACUCUUUUCUUUAAUUGUAAUGCUUAUUUUUUCUUGUUAUGAAACUUCCAUAUUUUAAAAGUUGGUGCGGACCCAUGCUAUAUAGGAUAACAUAUAUAUAUAAUCCAAGAGCAAUUGUGCUCCAAUCCACUUGUACAAUAUUAAUUUAAUUAUGUGAAUUAUGCGUUCUUA